This 351-nucleotide ribosomal RNA is filed under the name uncultured Anaerolineaceae bacterium. RNAcentral's name for it is "bacterial SSU rRNA". It matches the Rfam family "Bacterial small subunit ribosomal RNA", at positions 1017 to 1382 of the family's 1533-position model. The record is from RNAcentral. Lineage: Bacteria; Bacillati; Chloroflexota; Anaerolineae; Anaerolineales; Anaerolineaceae.
UCUUCGGAGAGCCUUCACAGGUGCUGCAUGGCUGUCGUCAGCUCGUGCCGUGAGGUGUCCGGGUUAAGUCCCGUAACGAGCGCAACCCUUGCCCUUAGUUACAAGUGUCUAGGGGGACUGCCGGCGGGAAGCCGGAGGAAGGUGGGAUGACGUCAAGUCAGCAUGGCCCUUAUAUCCAGGGCUACACACACGCUACAAUGGACGGUACAAAGGGCAGCGAAGCCGCGAGGUGGAGCGAAUCCCAGCAAAGCCGUCCGUAGUACGGAUAGCAGGCUGCAACUCGCCUGCUUGAAGCUGGAGUUGCUAGUAACCGCGCGUCAGCAUAGUGCGGUGAAUACGUUCCCGGGGCUU